RNAcentral lists this ribosomal RNA (539 nucleotides) under uncultured Geobacteraceae bacterium. RNAcentral's name for it is "bacterial SSU rRNA". It matches the Rfam family "Bacterial small subunit ribosomal RNA", at positions 9 to 526 of the family's 1533-position model. Lineage: Bacteria; Pseudomonadati; Thermodesulfobacteriota; Desulfuromonadia; Geobacterales; Geobacteraceae. The record is from RNAcentral.
GAGUUUGAUCCUGGCUCAGAACGAACGCUGGCGGCGUGCUUAACACAUGCAAGUCGAACGUGAUCCGGAGCUUGCUCCGGUGAAAGUGGCGCACGGGUGAGUAACGYGUGGAUAWUCUGCCCUGGUAUCUGGGAUAACAUCUCGAAAGGGGUGCUAAUACCAGAUAAGCCUACGGACUCUUCGGAGUCYGCAGGAAAAGGUGGCCUCUAUUUAUAAGCUWCCGUAUCAGGAUGAGUCCGCGUACCAUUAGCUAGUUGGUGGGGUAAUGGCCCMCCAAGGCUMCGAKGGUUAGCUGGUCUGAGAGGAUGAUCAGCCACACUGGAACUGAGACACGGUCCAGACUCCUACGGGAGGCAGCAGUGGKGAAUUUUGCGCAAUGGGGGAAACCCUGACGCAKCAACGCCGCGUGAGUGAUGAAGGCUUUCGGGUCGUAAAGCUCKGUCAGAGGGGAAGAAAUGAGACUGGCUAAUAUCCAGUUUUCUUGACGGUACCCUCAAAGGAAGCACCGGCUAACUACGUACCAGCAGCCGCGGUAAUAC